This 288-nucleotide long non-coding RNA is filed under the name Mytilus galloprovincialis (Mediterranean mussel). Lineage: Eukaryota; Metazoa; Mollusca; Bivalvia; Mytilida; Mytilidae. The record is from RNAcentral.
UGGUUCAUAUCAAUGACAGUAGUUGUAUAGAAUGAAGUAUUAGAUAUGCAUUCGCAUUCACGUGAUAUGCUAGACUAUCUUAAAAUGAGGGUUUUCCCAAUUUUUGCACCUGUGAUCUCAUUUGACAUGUAAAAAGUUGAAGUACUGUUCAAGUAAAGUAUGUUGCGUAUUGUCAUUUUUUGUUUGUUCACAUAACGGAAACUAAUGCUCGAGGCUUUCGUAUUUGUAUACUUUAGUUCACAGUAGUUGGACCAUUCGAGCCUGUCUUUGCGUUCAUUUCAACAUAAU